RNAcentral lists this ribosomal RNA (305 nucleotides) under uncultured bacterium. RNAcentral describes it as "bacterial SSU rRNA". It matches the Rfam family "Bacterial small subunit ribosomal RNA", at positions 337 to 635 of the family's 1533-position model. The record is from RNAcentral.
GCCUACGGGAGGCAGCAGUAGGGAAUUUUCGUCAAUGGGCGCAAGCCUGAACGAGCAAUGCCGCGUGAACGAGGGAGGUCUUCGGAUCGUAAAGUUCUGUUGAAGGGGAAAAAGAGCGGAGAGAGGAAAUGCUUUCUGAUCGAUAUUACCCUUCGAGGAAGUCACGGCUAACUACGUGCCAGCAGCCGCGGUAAUACGUAGGUGGCGAGCGUUAUCCGGAAUGAUUGGGCGUAAAGGGUGCGUAGGCGGCCUGCUAAGUCUGGAGUGAAAGGUACCGGCUCAACCGGUACAGGCUCUGGAAACUG